This 28-nucleotide transfer RNA is filed under the name Loxops coccineus coccineus. RNAcentral describes it as "partial tRNA-Phe". The record is from RNAcentral. Lineage: Eukaryota; Metazoa; Chordata; Aves; Passeriformes; Fringillidae.
UCCCCUACGUUCUUGUAGCUUAUAAAAA